RNAcentral lists this ribosomal RNA (253 nucleotides) under uncultured bacterium. RNAcentral describes it as "partial 16S ribosomal RNA". It matches the Rfam family "Bacterial small subunit ribosomal RNA", at positions 524 to 776 of the family's 1533-position model. The record is from RNAcentral.
GACGUAGGGGGCCAGCGUUGUUCGGAAUUACUGGGUGCAAAGGGUUCGUAGGCGGUGUAGCAAGUCGGGAGUGAAAUCUCUGGGCUUAACCCAGAGGCUGCUUCCGAAACUGCUGUGCUUGAGUGUGGGAGAGGCGCGUGGAAUUGCAGGUGUAGCGGUGAAAUGCGUAGAUAUCUGCAGGAACACCCGUGGCGAAAGCGGCGCGCUGGACCACUACUGACGCUGAGGAACGAAAGCUAGGGGAGCAAACAGG